Long non-coding RNA from Carassius gibelio (silver crucian carp), 1028 nucleotides. RefSeq lists it as uncharacterized. The record is from RefSeq and is a predicted model, not a curated record. NCBI's taxonomy places the organism in Eukaryota, Metazoa, Chordata, Actinopteri, Cypriniformes, Cyprinidae. The transcript has 3 exons.
UUUAACAUGGCUUAACAAUUUUAAAGGGUUACUGUUCGAACUAAAAUAGCUAAUGUGCUAGCUAACUUUGGAACAGUUAUUUGGUAGCUAAUGGGAUACCGUGCCUCUUAACUUUAACUAGCCUGUUAAUUAGCUGCAGAAAAUAGCCUAACGUUAUAUUCAACCAGCACAACUUUAUCUUCUUCAGCCGCCCUUUGUAAUUGCAGUGUAACAUCUAAGUAAUGCAUAGUGCAUGAGAGAAAUAAAUAGGUAACUCUUAGUUGAACCAGCGCUAAAUUAUGAUUUUGAAUAUAUAUUUUCUUUGCUAACAGGGGCAAAAUGCUGUUGCGUGUUCAAUUCGGGGAAGAGCAGAAAUACGUCAAGCUGUCUGAGCUGACAUUCGAUGCUUUCUUGAAAGAAGUUACAUAAAAUCGGCUGCAGAUACCAUGGUGACCAAUGGUUUGAGGGUUCAAAUGAGGGUUCAAAGUCUGUCUCAAUGUAGCUUCAAAAUCUCGAUAUGAUCCCAGCAGAGAAAUAAGGUUCUUAUCUAGUUAAAUGAUCGGUCAUUUUCAAAAUAAAAAUACCACAAUUGUACGUGUUGUAGAAUCUCAAGAUGUGCCACAUGUGCCGUCAUGAUGUCGUAAAGGUCCAUUUGUGGUUAAAAAUUAUAUUAUUUUUAUUUUGAAAACAGCCGAUCGUUUCACUAUAUAAGACCCUUAUUUCUCUGCAGGGAUUGUCAGGUCUUUGAAGCUACAUUAAGACAUUUGACCCUUCAUUUGAACCCUCAAACCAUUGGUCACCAUGGAAGUUCAUUAUAUGGAGAAAAAUCCUGGAAUGUUUUCCUCAAAAAACGUAUAUUAUUUUCGCCUGAAGAAAGAAAGACAUGAACAUCUUGGAUGACAUGGGGGUUGAAACCAGUGUGCAGCAGCAUCUAAACAACAUCACCAAAAGCAGUCAGCCCUACCUUCUCGCCCAGGGAUCCAUACAGAGCACCAUUCACUCCUACUUUAUUGUGUUUGACAAGCAUGCACUUCCAUGCAAGGCAACAG